UUAAGGAACUCGGCAAAAUACCCCCGUAAUUUUGGGAGAAGGGGGACCCCUUACUGUCAUCACCCUUGUGGUGGGCAGCGGUGGGGGGUCGCAGAAACCAGUGAGAAGCGACUGUUUAUUAAAAACACAGGUCCGUGCGAAGUCGUAAGACGAUGUAUACGGACUGACGCCUGCCCGGUGCUGGAAGGUUAAGAGGAUCGGUCAACCCCUUUUGGGGGGUGAAGCUGAGAAUUUAAGCCCCAGUAAACGGCGGUGGUAAUUAUAACCAUCCUAAGGUAGUGAAAUUCCUUGUUGGGUAAGUUCCGACCUGCACGAAUGGCGUAACGACUUCUCAACUGUCUCAACCAUAGACUCGGCGAAAUUGCACUACGAGUAAAGAUGCUCGUUACGCGCGGCAGGACGAAAAGACCCCGGGACCUUCACUACAACUUGGUAUUGGAGUUCGUUACGGUUUGUGUAGGAUAGGUGGGAGAUUGUGAAGCAUUAACGUUAGUUAGUGUGGAGUUAUUGUUGAAAUACUAUUUUGAUCGUAUUGGGCUUCUAAUUUUGAACCGUAUAUUUGGUUCAGGGAUAGUGCCUGGUGGGUAGUUUAACUGGGGUGGUUGCCUCCUAAAAUGUAAUGGAGGCGCCCAAAGGUUCCCUCAACUUGGAUGGUAAUUAGGUGUUGAGUGUAAGUGUAUAAGGGAGCUUGACUGCGAGACGUAUAUGUCGAGCAGGGAUGAAAGUUGGGAUUAGUGAUCCGGCACCCCUGAGUGGAAGGGGUGUCGUUUAAUGGAUAAAAGGUACCCCGGGGAUAACAGGCUGAUCUUCCCCAAGAGUUUAUAUUGAUGGGAUGGUUUGGCAUCUUGAUGUCGGCUCGUCGCAUCUUGGGGCUGGAGUAGGUCCCAAGGGUUGGGCUGUUUGCCCAUUAAAGCGGCAUGUGAGCUGGGUUUAGAACGUCGUGAGACAGUUUGGUCUCUAUCCGCCGCGCGCGUCAGAAGCUUGGGGAAAUUUGUUCCUAGUACGAGAGGACCGGGACGGACGAAUUUUUGGUCUACCAGUUGUCCCAUUAGGGGCAUUGCUGGAUAGCUACGUUCGGAUAGGAUAACCGCUGAAAGUAUUUAAGCGGGAAACCCCUUUCAAGACCAGGCUUCUCACCCAUUAAGUGGGAUAAGGCCCCCCGUAGAUUAUGGGAUUGAUAGACCAGACCUAGAAACCCAGUAAUGGGUGUAGGGAACUGGCAUUAAUUGGCCGAAAAUUUAU
This 1242-nucleotide ribosomal RNA is filed under the name metagenome. RNAcentral describes it as "bacterial LSU rRNA". It matches the Rfam family "Bacterial large subunit ribosomal RNA", at positions 1705 to 2925 of the family's 2925-position model. The record is from RNAcentral.